Molecule: ribosomal RNA, 413 nt
Filed under: uncultured microorganism
Description: bacterial SSU rRNA
Rfam family: Archaeal small subunit ribosomal RNA
Source: RNAcentral
GUGCACCAGGCGCGAAACUUCACACUGUGCGAAAGCACGAUGAGGGAAUCCCAAGUGCUUGCACGUAAGUGUAAGCUGUUUCUCUGUCUAAAACGCAGAGAGAGUAAGGGCUGGGUAAGACGGGUGCCAGCCGCCGCGGUAAUACCUGCAGCUCAAGUGGUGACCGUUAUUAUUGGGCCUAAAACGUCCGUAGCCGGUUUAAUAAAUGCCUGGGUAAAUUGUGUAGCUUAACUAUACGAAUUCCGGGUAGACUGUUAAACUUGAGACCGGGAGAAGUUAGAGGUACUCCUGGGGUAGAGGUGAAAUUCUGUAAUCCUAGGGGGACCACCAGUGGCGAAGGCGUCUAACUAGAACGGGUCUGACGGUGAGGGACGAAGCCCUGGGGCGCAAACGGGAUUAGAUACCCCUGUAGU